This 360-nucleotide ribosomal RNA is filed under the name uncultured bacterium. Its description in RNAcentral is "partial 16S ribosomal RNA". It matches the Rfam family "Bacterial small subunit ribosomal RNA", at positions 338 to 695 of the family's 1533-position model. The record is from RNAcentral.
CCUACGGGUGGCAGCAGUGAGGAAUAUUGGUCAAUGGCCGCGAGCCUGAACCAGCCAAGUAGCGUGAAGGAUGACUGCCCUACGGGUUGUAAACUUCUUUUAUAAAGGAAUAAAGUGAGGCACGUGUGCCUUUUUGUAUGUAUUUUAUGAAUAAGGAUCGGCUAACUCCGUGCCAGCAGCCGCGGUAAUACGGAGGAUCCGAGCGUUAUCCGGAUUUAUUGGGUUUAAAGGGAGCGUAGGUGGGUUGUUAAGUCAGUGGUGAAAGUUUGGGGCUCAACCGUAAAAUUGCAAUUGAAAUGGGCAGCCUGGAGACCAGUAGAGGUAGGCGGAAUUCGUGGGGUAGCGGUGAAAUGCUUAGAU